UAAGGAAUAUUGGUCAAUGGACGCAAGUCUGAACCAGCCAUGCCGCGUGGAGGAUUAAGGCCCUCUGGGUUGUAAACUCCUUUUAUCUGGGAAGAAAUGUACUUUUUCUUGAGUACUUGACGGUACCAGAGGAAUAAGCACCGGCUAACUCCGUGCCAGCAGCCGCGGUAAUACGGAGGGUGCAAGCGUUAUCCGGAUUCACUGGGUUUAAAGGGUGCGUAGGUGGGCAGGUAAGUCAGUGGUGAAAUCUCCGGGCUUAACCCGGAAACUGCCGUUGAUACUAUUUGUCUUGAAUAUUGUGGAGGUAAGCGGAAUAUGUCAUGUAGCGGUGAAAUGCUUAGAUAUGGCAUAGAACACCAAUUGCGAAGGCAGCGUACUACACAAUCAUUGACGCUGAGGCACGAAAGCGUGGGGAUCAAACA
Molecule: ribosomal RNA, 422 nt
Filed under: uncultured bacterium
Lineage: Bacteria
Description: bacterial SSU rRNA
Rfam family: Bacterial small subunit ribosomal RNA
Source: RNAcentral